Cebus imitator (Panamanian white-faced capuchin) is the source of this 208-nucleotide long non-coding RNA. RefSeq lists it as uncharacterized. The transcript has 3 exons. The record is from RefSeq and is a predicted model, not a curated record. NCBI's taxonomy places the organism in Eukaryota, Metazoa, Chordata, Mammalia, Primates, Cebidae.
AGAACAGAAAAUCAAACGCCACAUGUUCUCACUCCUAGGGGCUCUGCAUGGCACUGUUAGUGCUUGCUGAGAGAAAGAAGGCAGUGUGGAAGAGUGGAGACCAUGGACAUUUCAGCCACUUCCUCAUUGUACGAAUCACAUUUGGAGGCAACCACAAUACAUUAUGCCAUGCAUAAUCUCAGCUACAAAGGCAAAAGAGUCUUCUGCA